RNAcentral lists this transfer RNA (77 nucleotides) under Fornicia albalata. RNAcentral's name for it is "tRNA-Ser". The record is from RNAcentral. Lineage: Eukaryota; Metazoa; Arthropoda; Insecta; Hymenoptera; Braconidae.
AGAUAAUGAGCUUGCUAAUUAAAAUAAGCAUAUAUUUUGAAAAUAUAAGAAAGAAAUUAAAUAAUUUUUAUUAUCUA